Long non-coding RNA from Nerophis lumbriciformis (worm pipefish), 2160 nucleotides. RefSeq lists it as uncharacterized. NCBI's taxonomy places the organism in Eukaryota, Metazoa, Chordata, Actinopteri, Syngnathiformes, Syngnathidae. The record is from RefSeq and is a predicted model, not a curated record.
AGUUGAAAUAUUGGUUAUCCUCAAUUUUGGCUAUGUCAACAUGAGGAACAGGGGAGUCUGGAGAAAGAACCCUGAAUUCACAUUGUGACACCACAGACUCUGGGGAGGAUGCUCUAAAGUCGAACAACCAUUCCCGAAGAAGUGAUGUGUCCUGAUCAGAGGAAACAGAAUCUGGAGACAAUGCCCUGCUGCUAUGUGAGGAAAAAAUAAGCCCUUCUCUACUGAUACCACAGACUCUGGGGAAGAUAAUCUGAGGUCUAACAACCAGUUCUGAAGGAGUGACAUGUCCUGAUCAGAGGAAAUAGUAUCUGGAGACAAUGCCCUGAUGAUUCUGGGGAGGAUGCUCUGAAGUCUAACAACCAGUCCUGAAGGAGUGAUGUGUCCUGAUCAGAGGAAACAGAAUCUGGAGACAAUGCCCUGCUGCUAUGUGAGGAAAAAAUAAGCCCUUCUCUACUGAUACCACGGACUCUGGGGAAGAUAAUCUGAGGUCUAACAACCAGUUCUGAAGGAGUGACCUGCCCUGAUCAGAAGAAACAAAAUCUGGAGACAAUGCCCUUCUGCUAUGUAAGAGACAAUCGAUUCUGGUGUGCAUGACCUGCAGUUGAAAUAUUGGUUAUCCUCAAUUUUGGCUAUGUCAACAUGAGGAACAGGGGAGUCUGGAGAAAGAACCCUGAAUUCACAUUGUGACACCACAGACUCUGGGGAGGAUGCUCUGAAGUCUAACAACCAGUCCUGAAGGAGUGAUGUGUCCUGAUCAGAGGAAACAGAAUCUGGAGACAAUGCCCUGCUGCUAUGUGAGGAAAAAAUAAGCCCUUCUCUACUGAUACCAUGGACUCUGGGGAAGAUAAUCUGAGGUCUAACAACCAGUUCUGAAGGAGUGACCUGCCCUGAUCAGAAGAAACAAAAUCUGGAGACAAUGCCCUUCUGCUAUGUAAGAGACAAUCGAUUCUGGUGUGCAUGACCUGCAGUUGAAAUAUUGGUUAUCCUCAAUUUUGGCUAUGUCAACAUGAGGAACAGGGGAGUCUGGAGAAAGAACCCUGAAUUCACAUUGUGACACCACAGACUCUGGGGAGGAUGCUCUGAAGUCUAACAACCAGUCCUGAAGGAGUGAUGUGUCCUGAUCAGAGGAAACAGAAUCUGGAGACAAUGCCCUGCUGCUAUGUGAGGAAAAAAUAAGCCCUUCUCUACUGAUACCACGGACUCUGGGGAAGAUAAUCUGAGGUCUAACAACCAGUUCUGAAGGAGUGACCUGUCCUGAUCAGAAGAAACAAAAUCUGGAGACAAUGCCCUUCUGCUAUGUAAGGAAAAAAUAAGCCCUUCUCUACUGAUACCACGGACUCUGGGGAAGAUAAUCUGAGGUCUAACAACCAGUUCUGAAGGAGUAACCUGUCCUGAUCAGAGGAAAUAGUAUCUGGAGACAAUGCCCUGAUGCUAUGUAAGAGACAAUCGAUUCUGGUGUGCAUGACCUGCAGUUGAAAUAUUGGUUAUCCUCAAUUUUGGCUAUGUCAACAUGAGGAACAGGGGAGUCUGAAGAAAGAACCCUGAAUUCACAUUGUGACACCACAGACUCUGGGGAGGAUGCUCUGAAGUCGAACAACCAUUCCCGAAGGAGUGAUGUGUCCUGAUCAGAGGAAACAGAAUCUGGAGACAAUGCCCUGCUGCUAUGUGAGGACAAAAUAAGCCCUUCUCAACUGAUACCACAGACUUUGGGGAAGAUAAUCUGAGGUCUAACAACCAGUUCUGAAGGAGUGACCUGUCCUGAUCAGAAGAAACAAAAUCUGGAGACAAUGCCCUUCUGCUAUGUAAGACUCUGGGGAGGAUGCUCUGAAGUCGAACAACCAUUCCCGAAGGAGUGAUGUGUCCUGAUCAGAGGAAACAGAAUCUGGAGACAAUGCCCUGCUGCUAUGUGAGGACAGAAUAAGGCCUUUUCAGCUGAUACCACCGACUCUGGGGAGGAUGCCCUGAUGUCUAGCUCACUGUCCCAAAGGACUGAUGUGUCCAAAUAAGAGGAAAUAGAAUCUGGAGAUAAUAGCCUACAGCUAAAGAAGGUAUGAAGGGCAACAUCUGACAAAACUGACUGUGGAGACAGUGGUCUAACCUCAUCAAAAAUGUUAGAGUACUGUAAGAAAUAGUUGCAAUAUUUAUUCUGCUCAAUUAAGU